This 465-nucleotide ribosomal RNA is filed under the name uncultured bacterium. Its description in RNAcentral is "partial 16S ribosomal RNA". It matches the Rfam family "Bacterial small subunit ribosomal RNA", at positions 28 to 507 of the family's 1533-position model. The record is from RNAcentral.
GACGAACGCUGGCGGCGUGCUUAACACAUGCAAGUCGAACGGAAAGGCCCUGCUUGCAGGGUACUCGAGUGGCGAACGGGUGAGUAACACGUGGGUGAUCUGCCCUGCACUUCGGGAUAAGCCUGGGAAACUGGGUCUAAUACCGGAUAGGAGCCAUCUUUAGUGUGAUGGUUGGAAAGUUUUUUCGGUGUAGGAUGAGCUCGCGGCCUAUCAGCUUGUUGGUGGGGUAAUGGCCUACCAAGGCGGCGACGGGUAGCCGGCCUGAGAGGGUGGACGGCCACAUUGGGACUGAGAUACGGCCCAGACUCCUACGGUAGGCAGCAGUGGGGAAUAUUGCACAAUGGGCGCAAGCCUGAUGCAGCGACGCCGCGUGGGGGAUGACGGGCUUCGGGUUGUAAACUCCUUUCGCUAGGGACGAAGCUUUUUGUGACGGUACCUAGAGAAGAAGCACCGGCUAACUACGUG